ACGUUAUCUGGCCUCAAGUAUGACGCAGGGCCAGACACCUGCUGAUGCAACAACCACAUAUGCCCUCAGUCCCCAUGGUGUGGGAGCCUUAGGGCAGCCUGCCUGGAGCACUUUGACUGUCCUGUUUCAUCACCUCCCUCUAUAACUGCCAAUGAGAGAUCUGCUGUCAGUCUUCUUGACCCUCCAUGGACUCAGCUUCUUCAGUCUGAAGAUUUGUGUGUCACCAGGGAUAUAUAAAACAAGCUCAUUCUGCACAGCCAUCCAAAUGGCAAAUAUGAAAAGGAAGUUGUCAAGGAGGGGCAGUGACAUGAGGAAAAGAAUUCCAGAAGUUAGUGAUGGGGAUUUAUACAUUCCCAUAAC
Long non-coding RNA from Acomys russatus (golden spiny mouse), 360 nucleotides. RefSeq lists it as uncharacterized. NCBI's taxonomy places the organism in Eukaryota, Metazoa, Chordata, Mammalia, Rodentia, Muridae. The transcript is spliced from 3 exons. The record is from RefSeq and is a predicted model, not a curated record.